GCACUUCGGGAUAAGCCUGGGAAACUGGGUCUAAUACCGGAUAUGACUGCGAAUCGCAUGGUUUGUGGUGGAAAGCUUUUGCGGUGUGGGAUGGGCCCGCGGCCUAUCAGCUUGUUGGUGAGGUUAUGGCUUACCAAGGCGACGACGGGUAGCCGGCCUGAGAGGGUUACCGGCCACACUGGGACUGAGAUACGGCCCAGACUCCUACGGGAGGCAGCAGUGGGGAAUAUUGCACAAUGGGCGCAAGCCUGAUGCAGCGACGCCGCGUGAGGGACGACGGCCUUCGGGUUGUAAACCUCUUUCAGCACAGACGAAGCGCAAGUGACGGUAUGUGCAGAAGAAGCACCGGCCAACUACGUGCCAGCAGCCGCGGUAAUACGUAGGGUGCGAGCGUUGUCCGGAAUUACUGGGCGUAAAGAGCUCGUCGGUGGUUUGUCGCGUUGUUCGUGAAAACUCACAGCUCAACUGUGGGCGUGCGGGCGAUACGGGCAGACUGGAGUACUGCAGGGGAGACUGGAAUUCCUGGUGUAGCGGUGGAAUGCGCAGAUAUCAGGAGGAACACCGGUGGCGAAGGCGGGUCUCUGGGCAGUAACUGACGCUGAGGAGCGAAAGCGUGGGGAGCGAACAGGAUUAGAUACCCUGGUAGUCCACGCCGUAAACGGUGGGUACUAGGUGUGGGUU
Molecule: ribosomal RNA, 681 nt
Filed under: uncultured Mycobacterium sp.
Lineage: Bacteria; Bacillati; Actinomycetota; Actinomycetes; Mycobacteriales; Mycobacteriaceae
Description: bacterial SSU rRNA
Rfam family: Bacterial small subunit ribosomal RNA
Source: RNAcentral